RNAcentral lists this transfer RNA (68 nucleotides) under Thoopterus nigrescens (swift fruit bat). Its description in RNAcentral is "tRNA-Val". Lineage: Eukaryota; Metazoa; Chordata; Mammalia; Chiroptera; Pteropodidae. The record is from RNAcentral.
CAAAAUGUAGCUUAUAUAAAGCACCUGGCCUACACCCAGGAGAUUCCAUAUAAAUGUGGACACUUUGA